AACACUCACUGCACAGGUCAGGAGUUCAGGCCACUCCCGUGUCCUCACAGUGAGCUGGCUGCGGAUCCAGGCCCGUGUUUCCCUGGAUUCUAUUGGCCAGAGGCUGUGGUCUCCAGUCGCUGUGCAUGGAAAUCUGUCAAACUGGUUGAUAGGCAUGAAAUUCACAUUCAAAAAUAUCAACUUGACAUGGACCAAAUGAGAAUCUACUCAGCUCUGGGAAGAGACAAUGCUUCAGAAGAACUGACCACAGAUACCUGCCCUGAGUGAGGAUGAUUGCACUUUGAUAUCUGAAAUCGUGUGCAAGUAAUUUUGAUAAGGUGAGGGUAAACUCAACCUGGAGGAAGGCAAAAGAAGAAAGUCAACAUAACAAAUACACUUGAAACAACAAGGCCCUGCACGUUGAAAAAAGAUUUGCAAAAUGAAAUUCUUAUUCCAAGACUGUAUGUUAAAAGCAUGAAAAAAAGAAAAGGAAUUGUGAGUUUUCAUUUAUACAAACAAGAUCAUAAGUCACUGUACUAAUAUAAAUAGGUAAAUGAAUAAACAAAUCACUGUUUUAUUGACAUCUUGUAGGAAAGAUCCAUAUUCUGGAGCAAAACAAAGCCAAAAAGAAAAGAAGAAAGAAAUCCUAAAUCCUUUCAUUUUUGUCAUCAUUAAAAUUAAUCAAUUAAUCAACUAGUAAUUACACAGUACUAAUGUGUAAUUGCCAGACUUAUAAUUAAGCAUGCACUUUUUAAAACAAAAGUGAUCAAGUUUGAAUCUUUAAUGAUGUAGGGAAGGUUCUAUGUUAUGAAUUUGUCCUUUGCAAAAAUAAUUGGGCCAUGAGUGGUCUGUUCUCAUAGGUAAGAUUAAGGCCAGUGGAAAAGGGAAAGUUUAGGCAGAUGUGGUGGCACAGGGCUAUAAUCCAAGGACUCCAAGAGGCUGAGGCAGGAGGAUAGCAAGUUUGAGCUCAACCAGGGCAAUGCAUUGACUUAGCAAAUAAAACAUAAUCUCAAAGUAAAAUUUAAUAGGGAAGGGAGGAG
RNAcentral lists this long non-coding RNA (1019 nucleotides) under Heterocephalus glaber (naked mole-rat). RNAcentral describes it as "lncRNA (ENSHGLG00000040121.1)". Lineage: Eukaryota; Metazoa; Chordata; Mammalia; Rodentia; Bathyergidae. The record is from RNAcentral.